RNAcentral lists this ribosomal RNA (402 nucleotides) under uncultured bacterium. RNAcentral describes it as "bacterial SSU rRNA". It matches the Rfam family "Bacterial small subunit ribosomal RNA", at positions 355 to 774 of the family's 1533-position model. The record is from RNAcentral.
UGGGGAAUAUUGCACAAUGGGCGAAAGCCUGAUGCAGCAACGCCGCGUGAGUGAUGAAGGCCUUCGGGUUGUAAAGCUCUGUCUUCUGGGACGAUAAUGACGGUACCAGAGGAGGAAGCCCCGGCUAACUACGUGCCAGCAGCCGCGGUAAUACGUAGGGGGCAAGCGUUGUCCGGAUUUACUGGGUGGAAAGGGUGCUCAGGCGGAUUUGUAAGUCAGAGGUGAAAUCUUACAGCUUAACUGUGAAACUGCCUUUGAUACUGCAAGCCUAGAGUAUGGAAGAGAGUGAUGGAAUAUCUGGUGUAGCAGUGAAAUGCGUAGAUAUCAGAUAGAACACCAAUGGCGAAGGCAGUCACUUGGUCCAUUACUGACGCUAAAGCACGAAAGCGUGGGUAGCAAACG